GGCCGAAAGGCGAAAGUGAGAUUUCAAGGGCCGGGUCUGGGGCCCCGCGGGCGCGCAGUGCUGCGACGUGUGGGGAGUACGGGGAGGCUGGAGAGGAGCCGGCCCCGGGCAGUGUGAGGUGCGGAAGCGCGGUCCAGACACUUUGCUGACGGGAGGCCGGUCCGCCAGAUCCGGGAGGUGGGGCCUCGUUCUGGACUGCUGAUUUUCUUCACAGAAAUCAUGCCGUCUGUGAAUGAAGGGAGUUAUACUUCUUAUUUUCCAAAUGGAGAUUUUAUUUUUCUUGCAUGACUUCACUGGCUAGAACCACUACUACAAUGCUGAUUAGAAGUGAUAAGAAACAGAGGCAAAUGCAGGUUGAGGAACCUCACAGUAAGGGAUAAAACGCAUAUUUUAACCUGAUCUGCCUGAUUCUGGAGCCUGCACCAUCAUUCCAUUGUCGUGCUUGCCACAUGUCUCUUUGAGGCUUGCUAAAAUUGAUAUCCAUGAGUUCUAUCAAUUCUGGGACAGAGAACAAAUUGUGUUCUGUAAGGAUGGAGGGACAGUGAGGAAUUUGCCAAGACAUUUUGGAGUUUCUGAAAUAAAACCCACUUGAUCCCUUCUAUGUUCAUCUCCUGUGCUGGAUUUGAUUCAUUAAUAUUUUAUUUCAGUUUUUAAAUCUGUAUCUAUAAAUGACAUUCACACACCA
Molecule: non-coding RNA, 685 nt
Filed under: Pan troglodytes (chimpanzee)
Lineage: Eukaryota; Metazoa; Chordata; Mammalia; Primates; Hominidae
Source: RNAcentral